AGUGAACGCUGGCGGUAGGCUUAACACAUGCAAGUCGAACGGCAGCACAGUAAGAGCUUGCUCUUACGGGUGGCGAGUGGCGGACGGGGGAGGAAUACAUCGGAAUCUACUUUUUCGUGGGGGAUAACGUAGGGAAACUUACGCUAAUACCGCAUACGACCUACGGGUGAAAGCAGGGGAUCUUCGGACCUUGCGCGAUUGAAUGAGCCGAUGUCGGAUUAGCUAGUUGGCGGGGUAAAGGCCCACCAAGGCGACGAUCCGUAGCUGGUCUGAGAGGAUGGUCAGCCACACUGGAACUGAGACACGGUCCAGACUCCUACGGGAGGCAGCAGUGUGGAAUAUUGGACAGUGGGCGCAAGCCUGAUCCAGCCAUACCGCGUGGGUGAAGAAGGCCUUCGGGUUGUGAAGCCCUUUUGUUGGGAAAGAAAAGCAGCAGGUUAAUACCCCGCUGUUCUGACGGUACCCAAAGAAUAAGCACCGGCUAACUUCGUG
Molecule: ribosomal RNA, 492 nt
Filed under: uncultured bacterium
Lineage: Bacteria
Description: partial 16S ribosomal RNA
Rfam family: Bacterial small subunit ribosomal RNA
Source: RNAcentral